Molecule: ribosomal RNA, 263 nt
Filed under: uncultured bacterium
Lineage: Bacteria
Description: partial 16S ribosomal RNA
Rfam family: Bacterial small subunit ribosomal RNA
Source: RNAcentral
GUCCACGCUGUAAACGAUGUCUACUGGCCGUUGGCCUCCUUGAGGGGUUAGUGGCGUAGCUAACGCGAUAAGUAGACCGCCUGGGGAGUACGGCCGCAAGGUUAAAACUCAAAUGAAUUGACGGGGGCCCGCACAAGCGGUGGAGCAUGUGGUUUAAUUCGACGCAACGCGAAGAACCUUACCUACUCUUGACAUCCUGCGAAACCUGUAGAGAUAUGGGUGUGCCUUCGGGAGCGCAGAGACAGGUGCUGCAUGGCUGUCGU